UCCCUGGUGGUCCAGUGGCUAAGACUCUGCAAUCCCAGUGCAGGGACCCAGGUUCGAUCCCUGGUCAAGGAU
This 72-nucleotide transfer RNA is filed under the name Bos taurus (domestic cattle). It matches the Rfam family "tRNA". Rfam says of the family: Transfer RNA (tRNA) molecules are approximately 80 nucleotides in length. Their secondary structure includes four short double-helical elements and three loops (D, anti-codon, and T loops). Further hydrogen bonds mediate the characteristic L-shaped molecular structure. tRNAs have two regions of fundamental functional importance: the anti-codon, which is responsible for specific mRNA codon recognition, and the 3' end, to which the tRNAs corresponding amino acid is attached (by aminoacyl-tRNA synthetases). tRNAs cope with the degeneracy of the genetic code in two manners: having more than one tRNA (with a specific anti-codon) for a particular amino acid; and 'wobble' base-pairing, i.e. permitting non-standard base-pairing at the 3rd anti-codon position. RNAcentral also lists the same sequence under 4 other names. Lineage: Eukaryota; Metazoa; Chordata; Mammalia; Artiodactyla; Bovidae. The record is from Rfam by way of RNAcentral.